This is a non-coding RNA of Agelaius phoeniceus (red-winged blackbird), 528 nucleotides long. NCBI's taxonomy places the organism in Eukaryota, Metazoa, Chordata, Aves, Passeriformes, Icteridae. The record is from RefSeq and is a predicted model, not a curated record.
GUCCUCGCUUUCUUUCAGACGCAGAAGGAUAAAAUCCAGGGCAAAAUCCAUCCACCCAUCCCGAGUGAGGAGGUUCCCCCGAGCAGGAAGUAAAGCUGGACAUCAGCAGUCAAGGCAAUCCACUCGGAGUAGGCCAAGCCCCAGUCACCAACCGGCCGACGCGCCGGGUUUGCCGCUCUCCCGAGCCCUGGGGAAGAAUCCCGGGACUCGGCGAUGAAGCCUCUGCCUUUUCUGUUUAAAGGUGUCACCAGGGUAGCCUUCAGCAAUGGCCGAGGAGUUGCGCCCAGGCGUGCCCCACGACGAUGGCGUCAGCCUCCGAGUGCGGCUGAAGCGUGCGGCCCCAGGAGCCGGGCAUUCUUGGGAAAAGAACGAAGAAACAACAGGAAGUUGUUUAACAAGAGUGCCAGCAGGACCUUCCCAGCUGUCGAGGCAGCCUUCCCUUGCACCUGACACAGACCGGCAUCCCCAGAUGUCUGAGAGAUAAGUAGAGGGCUACGACCCACAGAGGGGAUGAAACCAGGGCGCAGG